CCUACGGGAGGCAGCAGUGGGGGAUAUUGCACAAUGGGGGAAACCCUGAUGCAGCGACGCCGCGUGUAGGAAGACGGUCCUCUGGAUUGUAAACUACUGUCCUCAGGGACGAAGAUGACGGUACUUGGGGAGGAAGCUCCGGCAAACUACGUGCAAGCAGCCGCGGUAAUACGUAGGGAGCGAGCGUUGUCCGGAUUUACUGGGUGUAAGGGGAGCGUAGGCGGGGAUGCAAGUUGGGUGUUAGACCUACGGGUUCAACUGGUAGUCGCACUCAAAACUGCAGCUCUUGAGUGAAGUAGAGGCAGGCGGAAUUCCUAGUGUAGCGGUGAAAUGCGUAGAUAUUAGGAGGAACACCAGUGGCGAAGGCGGCCUGCUGGGCUUUAACUGACGCUGAGGCUCGAAAGUGUGGGGAGCAAACAGGAUUAGAUACCCGGGUAGUC
This 440-nucleotide ribosomal RNA is filed under the name uncultured bacterium. Its description in RNAcentral is "partial 16S ribosomal RNA". It matches the Rfam family "Bacterial small subunit ribosomal RNA", at positions 338 to 795 of the family's 1533-position model. The record is from RNAcentral.